This 117-nucleotide ribosomal RNA is filed under the name uncultured bacterium. RNAcentral's name for it is "partial 16S ribosomal RNA". It matches the Rfam family "Bacterial small subunit ribosomal RNA", at positions 1384 to 1500 of the family's 1533-position model. The record is from RNAcentral.
UACACACCGCCCGUCACACCAUGAGAGUUGGAGAUACCCGAAGCCUAUGAGCUAACUUUUAGAGGNAGUAGUCGAAGGUAGAAUCAAUGAUUGGGGGUGAAGUCGUAACAAGGUACC